Non-coding RNA from Chlorocebus sabaeus (green monkey), 1212 nucleotides. The record is from RefSeq and is a predicted model, not a curated record. NCBI's taxonomy places the organism in Eukaryota, Metazoa, Chordata, Mammalia, Primates, Cercopithecidae.
AACUGCUGGGCUAAAGUGAUCCUCCCAUCUCUGCCUCCCAAAGUGCUGGGAUUGCAGACAUGAGUGACUGUGCCUGGCCUGGCGUGGAGAUUCUUGAAUGGGAGAGUGAUGUAAUGGAAAGAGGUGUUCAGGUGUUCGAAUGGAAGGGUGGGGCUGGGGAUUGGAGGGCAGGAAGAGGGAUUCUUCUGUGUAGAUACAGCCACCACCUUUGUCAGGGCUGAUUCCAGGAUUACGGAGCUAGUUUCUUUCGGGCUGGAGUAAAACCAUAGUAGAAUAUGGUUUUGCUGCACACAGUGUGGUUCUUGCUGUGAACUCAACACCUAGAUGAAUAUUAGCUCAUUCUUUUCUUCAUUCUCUAAAAGUGCACUUGUACACCCAUUUUACAAAGUGGGAUGCUGAGACCAAACUUCCCGGCGGUGAGGGGUGUGAUUACGUUCAGAGCGUUUGCCCAGCGCUGUACUGGGUGCGAGGGGUGGUCCGCGGAGGCUGCCUGUGCCCCCACGCAAGCUCACCUCCUGUGGGUCCUGGAGACAGGCUGCAGAUCUCUACCAGCCAGGAGGAGACAGUCCAGGUCACACACUAAGACACGUGUGCUGAGGUUUGAGGGUGCCUUGUCGGUUCAGCGGGUACAGCUCUCGCAGUUUCCAGCUGCGGCCCCCCUCGCCCUCUGCCCUGCUGCAGGUGGAUUGGGUUGUCUGGCAUCUCAUCACACCUGAAGAUAACCUUGAGAGUAGUUUUGUGCAUCCCACGUUUGGAGAGACAUAGCCUGUGUUCAUUUCUGAGUUUCACAGAUAGGGAGGUUGAGGCCUCACACGUGACUUGCCCAAGGACACGUGAGUUAAAGGCAGCAGCAGAUCCAGGUUUCUGGACUUUCUCUGUAGGGCGAUGUUCUCAAGAAGAAGUCAAGGUCCACCCUUUGCCUACUUACUGUGUGGCUUUGAGCAAGUUCUUAACUUCUCUGAGCUUUUGUUUUCUUAUCUGCAAAAAGGGACUGAUUGCUGCUUUCCUUGCAAGAAGACCUCAGGGCCUGCCCAGGCCUCUCCAAGGUCUGGCUUGGCCACAUGGCCUCCUCCACUCGGACCAGAUGUGGUCUCUUUAGAGCCCUUGGUAGCCACACUGUUAGUGUCAUCCUGGCUGCUGUUUCUAUUCCCUUUUGUAUAUAUAUGUUUGUGGUGAGUCAUCGGUUAAAUUAAAAUAGUUUAAUAUCUCAAA